Molecule: ribosomal RNA, 1290 nt
Filed under: Vibrio parahaemolyticus
Lineage: Bacteria; Pseudomonadati; Pseudomonadota; Gammaproteobacteria; Vibrionales; Vibrionaceae
Description: bacterial SSU rRNA
Rfam family: Bacterial small subunit ribosomal RNA
Source: RNAcentral
GAGUUAUCUGAACCUUCGGGGGACGAUAACGGCGUCGAGCGGCGGACGGGUGAGUAAUGCCUAGGAAAUUGCCCUGAUGUGGGGGAUAACCAUUGGAAACGAUGGCUAAUACCGCAUGAUGCCUACGGGCCAAAGAGGGGGACCUUCGGGCCUCUCGCGUCAGGAUAUGCCUAGGUGGGAUUAGCUAGUUGGUGAGGUAAGGGCUCACCAAGGCGACGAUCCCUAGCUGGUCUGAGAGGAUGAUCAGCCACACUGGAACUGAGACACGGUCCAGACUCCUACGGGAGGCAGCAGUGGGGAAUAUUGCACAAUGGGCGCAAGCCUGAUGCAGCCAUGCCGCGUGUGUGAAGAAGGCCUUCGGGUUGUAAAGCACUUUCAGUCGUGAGGAAGGUGGUGUAGUUAAUAGCUGCAUUAUUUGACGUUAGCGACAGAAGAAGCACCGGCUAACUCCGUGCCAGCAGCCGCGGUAAUACGGAGGGUGCGAGCGUUAAUCGGAAUUACUGGGCGUAAAGCGCAUGCAGGUGGUUUGUUAAGUCAGAUGUGAAAGCCCGGGGCUCAACCUCGGAAUUGCAUUUGAAACUGGCAGACUAGAGUACUGUAGAGGGGGGUAGAAUUUCAGGUGUAGCGGUGAAAUGCGUAGAGAUCUGAAGGAAUACCGGUGGCGAAGGCGGCCCCCUGGACAGAUACUGACACUCAGAUGCGAAAGCGUGGGGAGCAAACAGGAUUAGAUACCCUGGUAGUCCACGCCGUAAACGAUGUCUACUUGGAGGUUGUGGCCUUGAGCCGUGGCUUUCGGAGCUAACGCGUUAAGUAGACCGCCUGGGGAGUACGGUCGCAAGAUUAAAACUCAAAUGAAUUGACGGGGGCCCGCACAAGCGGUGGAGCAUGUGGUUUAAUUCGAUGCAACGCGAAGAACCUUACCUACUCUUGACAUCCAGAGAACUUUCCAGAGAUGGAUUGGUGCCUUCGGGAACUCUGAGACAGGUGCUGCAUGGCUGUCGUCAGCUCGUGUUGUGAAAUGUUGGGUUAAGUCCCGCAACGAGCGCAACCCUUAUCCUUGUUUGCCAGCGAGUAAUGUCGGGAACUCCAGGGAGACUGCCGGUGAUAAACCGGAGGAAGGUGGGGACGACGUCAAGUCAUCAUGGCCCUUACGAGUAGGGCUACACACGUGCUACAAUGGCGCAUACAGAGGGCAGCCAACUUGCGAAAGUGAGCGAAUCCCAAAAAGUGCGUCGUAGUCCGGAUUGGAGUCUGCAACUCGACUCCAUGAAGUCGGAAUCGCUAGUAAUC